GAUGAACGCUAGCGGCAGGCUUAAUACAUGCAAGUCGAGGGGCAGCAUGAGUAGCAAUACUUGAUGGCGACCGGCAGACGGGUGCGGAACACGUACGCAACCUUCCUUUAAGUGGGGAAUAGCCCCGGGGAAACCCGGAUUAAUACCCCGUAAGAUUAUGAUGUGGCAUCACAUUAUAAUUAUAGAUUCAUCGCUUAAAG
RNAcentral lists this ribosomal RNA (200 nucleotides) under uncultured bacterium. RNAcentral's name for it is "partial 16S ribosomal RNA". It matches the Rfam family "Bacterial small subunit ribosomal RNA", at positions 28 to 224 of the family's 1533-position model. The record is from RNAcentral.